Molecule: long non-coding RNA, 478 nt
Organism: Chelonia mydas (Green sea turtle)
Lineage: Eukaryota; Metazoa; Chordata; Testudines; Cheloniidae
Exons: 3
Source: RefSeq, a predicted model, not a curated record
UAGUUCCCAGUGAUUGGAAAUAUUUUAGUUAGUUGCCUAAACACUGCGGGCUUAACAUUUCCUGUCUUCUAGGUGACAAAAGAAGGCAUUAAGGACAAGGCUCUUGUAAAACUGAUGUCCAUUUGGUAGCAAAUUUAGCCCCUCCCUUCUGCUCCCACACUCACAUGGACUGCAUUUCUAACAACAAAAUCUACUAAGGGAAGUCUGACAUCAUCACAUCUAAGGAAUCCACUUUACUAGGAUGGAAGAAAAAAAUGGAUGGCACACUGGUUACAAAUGAUAUCUCAGGAGAUGAUAGACGUUUGACUGCAACAGUGUCUGUCUACAUACAGGCCAAAUCUUAGUUCUUCAAAACGGCAUCUGUCUGCUUUUGCAAAUUCAAGACCAAGACCAACCCCAGGGACAGUUUGGGCUUGUCUACACUGGCACUUUACAGCGCUGCACCUUUCUUGCUCAGGGAUGUGAAAAAACACACCCC